This 253-nucleotide ribosomal RNA is filed under the name uncultured bacterium. RNAcentral describes it as "partial 16S ribosomal RNA". It matches the Rfam family "Bacterial small subunit ribosomal RNA", at positions 524 to 776 of the family's 1533-position model. The record is from RNAcentral.
UACGGAGGGCGCGAGCGUUACCCGGAUUUACUGGGCGUAAAGGGCGUGUAGGCGGUCUGGGGCGUCCCAUGUGAAAGGCCACGGCUCAACUGUGGAGGAGCGUGGGAUACGCUCAGGCUAGACGGUGGGAGAGGGUGGUGGAAUUCCAGGAGUAGCGGUGAAAUGCGCAGAUACCGGGAGGAACGCCGAUGGCGAAGGCAGCCACCUGGCUCACUGGUGACGCUGAGGCGAGAAAGCGUGGGGAGCAAACCGG